RNAcentral lists this ribosomal RNA (275 nucleotides) under uncultured bacterium. RNAcentral's name for it is "partial 16S ribosomal RNA". It matches the Rfam family "Bacterial small subunit ribosomal RNA", at positions 338 to 605 of the family's 1533-position model. The record is from RNAcentral.
CCUACGGGUGGCUGCAGUGGGGAAUUUUGGACAAUGGGCGAAAGCCUGAUCCAGCCAUGCCGCGUGUCUGAAGAAGGCCUUCGGGUUGUAAAGGACUUUUGUCAGGGAGGAAAUCCCUAGUGCUAAUAACACUGGGGGAUGACAGUACCUGAAGAAUAAGCACCGGCUAACUACGUGCCAGCAGCCGCGGUAAUACGUAGGGUGCGAGCGUUAAUCGGAAUUACUGGGCGUAAAGCGUGCGCAGGCGGUUUGAUAAGCCAGAUGUGAAAUCCCCG